UGGUUCUGGCAUCGAUGAAGAACGCAGCGAAAUGCGAUAAGUAGUGUGAAUUGCAGAAUUCAGUGAAUCAUCGAAUCUUUGAACGCACAUUGCGCCCUUUGGUAUUCCAAAGGGCAUGCCUGUUCGAGCGUCAUUUGUACCCUCAAGCUUUGCUUGGUGUUGGGCGUCUUGUCUCUAGCUUUGCUGGAGACUCGCCUUAAAGUAAUUGGCAGCCGGCCUACUGGUUUCGGAGCGCAGCACAAGUCGCACUCUCUAUCAGCAAAGGUCUAGCAUCCAU
RNAcentral lists this ribosomal RNA (277 nucleotides) under Alternaria alternata. Its description in RNAcentral is "partial 16S ribosomal RNA". The stretch from base 1 to 133 matches the Rfam family "5.8S ribosomal RNA", at positions 22 to 154 of the family's 154-position model. The record is from RNAcentral. Lineage: Eukaryota; Fungi; Ascomycota; Dothideomycetes; Pleosporales; Pleosporaceae.